RNAcentral lists this ribosomal RNA (528 nucleotides) under uncultured bacterium. Its description in RNAcentral is "bacterial SSU rRNA". It matches the Rfam family "Bacterial small subunit ribosomal RNA", at positions 777 to 1304 of the family's 1533-position model. The record is from RNAcentral.
AAUAGAUACCCCGGUAGUCCACGCCGUAAACGAUGAGUGCUAAGUGUUAGAGGGUUUCCGCCCUUUAGUGCUGCAGCUAACGCAUUAAGCACUCCGCCUGGGGAGUACGGUCGCAAGACUGAAACUCAAAGGAAUUGACGGGGGGCCCGCACAGGCGGUGGAGCAUGUGGUUUAAUUCGAAGCAACGCGAAGAACCUUACCAGGUCUUGACAUCCCACUGACCGGUAUAGAGAUAUACCUUUCCCUUCGGGGACAGUGGUGACAGGUGGUGCAUGGUUGUCGUCAGCUCGUGUCGUGAGAUGUUGGGUUAAGUCCCGCAACGAGCGCAACCCUUGAUCUUAGUUGCCAGCAUUUAGUUGGGCACUCUAAGGUGACUGCCGGUGACAAACCGGAGGAAGUGGGGAUGACGUCAAAUCAUCAUGCCCCUUAUGACCUGGGCUACACACGUGCUACAAUGGAUGGUACAAAGGGCUGCAAGACUGCGAAGUCAAGCCAAUCCAUAAACCGAUUCUCAGUUCGGAUUGCAGG